UGUAGGAGCUGCCGAAGGCUGCGAUCUUUUGAUUUUGAUCUUUUAAAAAGCAAGAUCAAAAGAUCGCAGCCUUCGGCAGCUCCUACA
Molecule: non-coding RNA, 87 nt
Filed under: Pseudomonas helmanticensis
Lineage: Bacteria; Pseudomonadati; Pseudomonadota; Gammaproteobacteria; Pseudomonadales; Pseudomonadaceae
Source: RNAcentral